RNAcentral lists this ribosomal RNA (1221 nucleotides) under Triticum aestivum (bread wheat). Its description in RNAcentral is "partial small subunit ribosomal RNA". Lineage: Eukaryota; Viridiplantae; Streptophyta; Magnoliopsida; Poales; Poaceae. The record is from RNAcentral.
AUGGAAUUUGAGAAUGACGAUAUUGCAUAUGAGUUUUACAAUACAUACGCAGGACAUGUAGGUUUCAGUGUCAGGAAAUCUUGGCAUGAUAAAUCCUCAACGACUAAUGUUAUUCGAACAAAGAAAUUUGUAUGCUCAAAGGAAGGUCACAAGGACAAGAGCAAGGAACAAUGUCAGAGGAAGCGAGCAGAAACAAGAGUUGGUUGUCUGGCAGAGAUGACCAUCAAAAUAAGUGCUAAUGGAAAAUAUGUCGUAAGUAGCUUUGAGGAUGCUCAUAAUCAUGAACUCGUAACUCCAAGCAAAGCCCAUCUACUGCGAUUCCAAAGAAGAAUUACAGAAGGUCAGAAGGCCCAAAUUGACAUCUUGAAUGAUUCAGGUAUUAGACCAAAAUCUGGUCAUGAAGUGAUGAGUAGACAAGCAGGGGGUCGACAGUCUCUUAGCUUCGGUCAAAAAGAUUAUAAAAAUUAUCUCCGAUCAAAGCGUAUGCAAUCCAUCCAAGAAGGAGACACGGGUGCCAUUCUUCAAUACCUUCAGGACAAGCAGAUGGAAAAUCCUUCCUUUUUCUAUGCAAUACAAGUAGAUGAAGAUGAGAUGAUAACCAAUAUAUUCUGGGCAGAUGCAAGAUCAAUACUAGAUUAUCACUACUUUGGUGAUGUGGUAUGCUUUGACACAACCUUUAAGACAAAUAGUUAUGGCAGACCAUUUGCCCCUUUUGUUGGUGUCAACCAUCAUAAACAAACAGUGGUUUUUGGAGCUGCAUUACUGUAUGAUGAAUCAUCUGAGACAUUUGAAUGGUUGUUUGAAACAUUCAAAAGGGCCAUGUCAGGGAAAGAACCAAAGACAAUAUUGACCGAUCAAUGUGCUGCCAUUAUUAGUGCCAUUGGCAAGGUUUUUACUAACUCAAUACAUCGUCUAUGUGUGUGGCACAUGUAUCAGAAUGCUGCAAAACAUUUGAGUCAUGUUUUCCAAGGUUCGAAGGCAUUUAAGAAAGAUUUUGGCAAAUGUGUUUAUGAUUUUGAAGAAGUUGAUGAAUUCUUAGCAGGUUGGAAUGAUAUGCUAGUGAAAUAUAAUUUGGAAGAUAAUGAAUGGCUACAUAGAUUAUUCCAGAACAAGGAGAAGUGGGCUUUGGUUUAUGGUCGACAAACCUUUUGUGCAGAUAUGAAAUCCACACAAAGAAGCGAGAGUCUGAAUGCACUAUUGAAAUGGUACUUGCAUGUUUGA